Molecule: non-coding RNA, 674 nt
Organism: Chrysemys picta bellii (western painted turtle)
Lineage: Eukaryota; Metazoa; Chordata; Testudines; Emydidae
Source: RefSeq, a predicted model, not a curated record
AUGGCUUGGAGCCGACCCCGGCUGCUUUUCCGCUGUGAGCUGUUUCCCCAGCCACGGGGCAGGCGGAUGGCCAUGCAGCGCUCCGGGGGGGAUUUCGGUAGAUGCAUUUUUAACCUGGGCCAUUUUCCCAGUGCAUUUGGCGCUGGCAAAAGGGGGCGGGGGGGGAUUGGCAGACCCAGAGCAAAUGACAUCCUCUCCCCUCGAGGGGCCAUGCAAGCCCCAAGCCCCAGAAUUCAGCGGACUCCAGCUUUACCCGGGCUUUGGGGAGACUGAACUAUUUGCAGAACUCGGAUCACCAUUUGGAACAGACCAAAAGGGAUUGAAAGUUGCCGCUCUGGCCGGCGUUGACUCUUGGCUUUUGCCCGGUGACAAAGGAUCGCUUAGAAAAAAGAAAUUCAACCGGUGCCGAGGGAACCAGCUGAGCCCAAAGGCUGCCCCCCAAGAGGCGCUUUUAAACUCUCAAUACCAGCGUCGACCGCAGCAUCGGCAUCUUCGCCAUGGGUUCAUCACGAGGCCCCCUCAGAGCUCCUGAUCUCGCCUCAAAGAUCGAGCCCGGCACCCCCAGGCGUCCUCCCCACUGACCCAGCGAGGCACCGCUCAGGAUGUUUAUCCGGCCGUCCCCUGCUCACGAUUCAAUUGGCCUGCCUUCAUUAAAGGCUGGCAUAGCUGCCUAA